This 717-nucleotide ribosomal RNA is filed under the name uncultured marine bacterium. Its description in RNAcentral is "bacterial SSU rRNA". It matches the Rfam family "Bacterial small subunit ribosomal RNA", at positions 57 to 819 of the family's 1533-position model. The record is from RNAcentral.
GCAAGUCGAACGAAGUAGCAAUACUUAGUGGCAGACGGGUGAGUAACAUGUAGGUAUCUACCCUUUGGCCUGGAAUAACACGAGGAAACUUGUGCUAAUACCGGAUAAGUCUUUACGGAGAAAGCUUUAUGCACCAUUGGAUGAGCCUGCACUUGAUUAGUUUGUUGGUAGGGUAAUGGCCUACCAAGACUGUGAUCAAUAGCUGAUUUGAGAGGAUGAUCAGCCACAUUGGGACUGAGACACGGCCCAAACUCCUACGGGAGGCAGCAGUGGGGAAUCUUGCACAAUGGAGGAAACUCUGAUGCAGCGAUGCCGCGUGAGUGAAGAAGGCCCUUGGGUUGUAAAGCUCUUUCGUCGGGGAAGAAAAUGACUGUACCCGAAUAAGAAGGUCCGGCUAACUUCGUGCCAGCAGCCGCGGUAAUACGAAGGGACCUAGCGUAGUUCGGAAUUACUGGGCUUAAAGAGUUCGUAGGUGGUUGAAAAAGUUGGUGGUGAAAUCCCAGAGCUUAACUCUGGAACUGCCAUCAAAACUUUUCAGCUAGAGUUUGAUAGAGGAAAGCAGAAUUUCUAGUGUAGAGGUGAAAUUCGUAGAUAUUAGAAAGAAUACCAAUUGCGAAGGCAGCUUUCUGGAUCAAUACUGACACUGAGGAACGAAAGCAUGGGUAGCGAAGAGGAUUAGAUACCCUCGUAGUCCAUGCCGUAAACGAUGUGUGUUAG